RNAcentral lists this ribosomal RNA (343 nucleotides) under uncultured Pseudomonadota bacterium. Its description in RNAcentral is "bacterial SSU rRNA". It matches the Rfam family "Bacterial small subunit ribosomal RNA", at positions 29 to 351 of the family's 1533-position model. Lineage: Bacteria; Pseudomonadati; Pseudomonadota. The record is from RNAcentral.
AAUGAACGCUGGCGGCGUGCCUAACACAUGCAAGUCGUACGAGAAAUCUCGGGCUUGCUCGAGAGAGUAAAGUGGCGUACGGGUGAGUAACACGUAGGUAAUCUACCUCCGGGUCAGGGAUAACCCGCCGAAAGGCGGGCUAAUACCUGGUAAUACCCUGUCUGCGUGAGCAGGCGGGAUCAAAGGUGGCCUCUGCAUGCAAGCUACUGCUCGGAGAUGAGCCUGCGGACCAUUAGCUAGUUGGUAGGGUAAUGGCCUACCAAGGCGACGAUGGUUAGCUGGUCUGAGAGGACGGCCAGCCACACUGGAACUGGAACACGGUCCAGACUCCUACGGGUGGCAG